CAGUCGCCGCGGUAAUACGUAGGGUACGAGCGUUUAUCGGAAUUACUGGGCGUAAAGCGUGCGCAGGCGGUUGUGUAAGACAGGUGUGAAAUCCCCGGGCUUAACCUGGGAACUGCGCUUGUGACUGCACAGCUAGAGUAUGGCAGAGGGGGGUGGAAUUCCACGUGUAGCAGUGAAAUGCGUAGAGAUGUGGAGGAACACCGAUGGCGAAGGCAGCCCCCUGGGCCAAUACUGACGCUCAUGCACGAAAGCGUGGGGAGCAAACAGGAUUAGAUACCCGCGUAGUCCCUGUCUCUUAUAC
Molecule: ribosomal RNA, 301 nt
Filed under: uncultured bacterium
Lineage: Bacteria
Description: partial 16S ribosomal RNA
Rfam family: Bacterial small subunit ribosomal RNA
Source: RNAcentral